GUUUAAACAGGCUGUCGAGGUUCUCCACAGCAGGCAUGAUGUGGAGCUAAGACGGGAAGCCGGUGACGUUCUCCGUGAACGGAAUCCGGCGCUGCCCCCGCAACUGUAAGCGGUGAGCUGCGGUUCCAUUUUGUGUCACUGAGCCUUCGCAAGAGGCUCGGGAAGGCCGGGACCGACGCAUUGACCCGUGAGCCAGGAGACCUGCCUCCGACGCGAUAAUGUUC
RNAcentral lists this non-coding RNA (224 nucleotides) under Sphingobium sp. CECT 9361. The record is from RNAcentral. Lineage: Bacteria; Pseudomonadati; Pseudomonadota; Alphaproteobacteria; Sphingomonadales; Sphingobiaceae.